GGCGUACGGCUCAGUAACACGUAGUCAACCUGCCCUGGAGACAUGGACAACCCCGGGAAACUGGGAUUAAUCCGUGAUAGGUCAUCUCAUCUGGAAGGAGAGAUGGCUUAAAGGGAUGCGCGGGCUUCUUCUGCGUAUUUGCUCCAGGAUGGGACUGCGUCCGAUCAGGCUGUUGGCGGGGUAAUGGCCCACCAAGCCAGUAACCGGUACGGGCCUUGAGAGAGGUGGCCCGGAGAUGGACACUGAGAGAAGGGUCCAGGUCCUACGGGGCGCAGCAGGCGCGAAACCUUCGCAAUGCGCGCAAGCGUGACGAGGUUAAUCCGAGUGAUUUCCGCUGAGGAGACCUUUUGUCUGCUGUAAAUAGGCAGGCGAAUAAGGGGAGGGCAAGCCUGGUGUCAGCCGCCGCGGUAAUACCAGCUCCUCGAGUGGUCGGGGCGAUUAUUGGGCCUAAAGCAUCCGUAGCCGGUUCCGUAGGUCCUCUGUUAAAUCCAACCGCCCAACGGUUGACCUGCAGAGGAUACCGCGAGACUAGGAGGCGGGAGAGGCGGACGGUACUCCGCGUGUAGGGGUAAAAUCCUUUGAUCCGCGGAAGA
Molecule: ribosomal RNA, 593 nt
Filed under: uncultured archaeon
Lineage: Archaea
Description: bacterial SSU rRNA
Rfam family: Archaeal small subunit ribosomal RNA
Source: RNAcentral